AACGAACGUUAGCGGCGCGCCUAACACAUGCAAGUCGCACGAGAAAGGGGGCAACCCCCGGUACAGUGGCGCACGGGUGAGUAACACGUAGGUAAUCUACCUCCGAGUGGUGGAUAACCUUCCGAAAGGAGGGCUAAUACAGCAUGAGACCACGACCACGAGAGUGGAUGGGGUCAAAGCCGGCCUCUAUACAUAAGCUGGCGCUUGGAGAUGAGCCUGCGGCCCAUCAGCUAGUUGGUAGGGUAAUGGCCUACCAAGGCAAAGACGGGUAGCUGUCUGAGAGGAUGAUCAGCCACACUGGAACUGAGACACGGUCCAGA
RNAcentral lists this ribosomal RNA (320 nucleotides) under uncultured bacterium. RNAcentral describes it as "bacterial SSU rRNA". It matches the Rfam family "Bacterial small subunit ribosomal RNA", at positions 29 to 335 of the family's 1533-position model. The record is from RNAcentral.